AUUCAUCUUCGGGGCAGGGUGAAAUUCCCGAUCGGCGGUAAUAGAAGUUUGCAAUUCUGACCAUUCAAUUGGAGGACUAUGCAAAAUAACUUCUUAAGCCCGCGAGCUUGUUUAGAGCAGGAUUUGGUGCGAUUCCAAAGCCGACAGUAUAGUCUGGAUGGGAGAAGGUGAAG
Molecule: non-coding RNA, 173 nt
Filed under: Ureibacillus manganicus
Lineage: Bacteria; Bacillati; Bacillota; Bacilli; Caryophanales; Caryophanaceae
Also listed under: 1 other name
Description: Lysinibacillus manganicus FMN sequence
Rfam family: FMN riboswitch aptamer (RFN element)
About the family: The RFN element is a highly conserved domain that is found frequently in the 5'-untranslated regions of prokaryotic mRNAs that encode for flavin mononucleotide (FMN) biosynthesis and transport proteins.
Source: RNAcentral